This 493-nucleotide ribosomal RNA is filed under the name uncultured bacterium. Its description in RNAcentral is "partial 16S ribosomal RNA". It matches the Rfam family "Bacterial small subunit ribosomal RNA", at positions 28 to 523 of the family's 1533-position model. The record is from RNAcentral.
GGUGAACGCUGGCGGCAUGCCUUACACAUGCAAGUCGAACGGUAACAGGUUAAGCUGACGAGUGGCGAACGGGUGAGUAAUACAUCGGAACGUGCCCAGUAGUGGGGGAUAGCCCGGCGAAAGCCGGAUUAAUACCGCAUACGACCUAAGGGUGAAAGGGGGGGAUCGCAAGACCUCUCGCUAUUGGAGCGGCCGAUGUCAGAUUAGGUAGUUGGUGGGGUAAAGGCCCACCAAGCCGACGAUCUGUAGCUGGUCUGAGAGGACGACCAGCCACACUGGGACUGAGACACGGCCCAGACUCCUACGGGAGGCAGCAGUGGGGAAUUUUGGACAAUGGGCGCAAGCCUGAUCCAGCCAUGCCGCGUGCGGGAAGAAGGCCUCCAGGUUGUAAACCGCUUUUGUCAGGGAAGAAAUCCUUUGGGUUAAUACCUCGGGGGGAUGACGGUACCUGAAGAAUAAGCACCGGCUAACUACGUGCCAGCCGCCGCCGUAA